CACUUUCAUUUUGUUCACCUCCACUUUGUGCACCUACUUCACCACCAUAACCUUGUGAGCCCUCUUCAACUUUUUUGCUUCGUUUUUUAAUUUUUCUAAAGCCAUUCCAGAUGGUCCAAGGUUUUCGUAUAUCGUACACAACUUUUAUUUUGAAGUCUUUUAUUGCACCAACUGCAAAUUAACAAACCAUUCUUAUUAAACAAAAUAAAGGUUAAACAAUUAUUUUGGUCCCUGAAUAUAUGAGGUGGUGUCAAUAUAGUCUCUGAAUGUAUGGAAAUUAUAAACACAUCUAUAAGUAUCUAAUUUUUAGUCAUCUAGGUCUCAAAUCUAUUUUUAGAUAGUUAAUUUUAUCUAGAAAUGUGAAUUUCCCUGAGCACUAUUGUAAAAGAAGAAAGAAAUAGUGUGUUGAAUAUAUAUAUAAAUUGAAUCUCAUAUUUAAAUACAUACAUACAUUGAAUCUCAUCUUUCCAUGGCUCAAUUGCCACAACCGAUAUAACAUUUAUUGCACAAACAAAGAAUACGAAGAUAUAAGGCUUGAUUUUCAUCCUUGAUCAACUAAGAUUAUAGUGUAGUGAAAUAUGAAUACAAUCAUUACCUAUUUAUAGUGAUCAUGACGGAAGGAUAUAAAAGAUGAAUAAAAAGAGUUUGAUUUUGAUCAUAAAAUAAAUAUUAUAUGAUAACAAAAAUAAUAUAUAUAUUAGUUGGCUACUUGGC
Molecule: long non-coding RNA, 714 nt
Filed under: Trifolium pratense (red clover)
Lineage: Eukaryota; Viridiplantae; Streptophyta; Magnoliopsida; Fabales; Fabaceae
Description: long non-coding RNA (TPRA_LNC006358)
Source: RNAcentral